This 292-nucleotide ribosomal RNA is filed under the name uncultured bacterium. RNAcentral's name for it is "partial 16S ribosomal RNA". It matches the Rfam family "Bacterial small subunit ribosomal RNA", at positions 505 to 796 of the family's 1533-position model. The record is from RNAcentral.
GUGUCAGCAGCCGCGGUAAAACGUAGGAGGCGAGCGUUAUCCGGAUUCACUGGGCGUAAAGCGCAUGUAGGUGGUUCGUCAAGUCGAGUGUUAAAGCCCCUGGCUCAACUGGGGGAGGUCAUUCGAAACGGAUGGACUUGAGGGUAGCAGAGGAGAGUGGAACUCCCGGUGUAGCGGUGGAAUGCGUAGAGAUCGGGAAGAACACCAGUGGCGAAGGCGACUCUCUGGGCUACAUCUGACACUGAGAUGCGAAAGCGUGGGUAGCAAACGGGAUUAGAAACCCCUGUAGUCC